GUUAUUGCACCUGAAUAUUUGAUUAUGAAUCUAAGUUAUGGGAAAUAGGUGGAGUAAGAGGAAAUGAGGCGUUGUUCGAUGGGGCCUUGCCACGGUUGCCUUGAGUUUUCGCAUCGAAGCACCACUUUGUAUGGCUAGCCUUCCAUGGCUACAUCGAGGGUCCCAAUCUGCAGGCAAGCUCUUCUUUUCAUCUGCAGGUUAUGAGUCAUCUCCACCUCAAUGAGAUUUAGUUUCCACAUUAACGACUAUAGGUUUCUUAAUGUUUUGGAGUGGUCUACUUUCAUUGUCUCCGGUUCAGUUGUGUAUUUCUUUGCGCCCAUGUUCACUUCAGUAUUCCCUUCCAAUUCUCACACUAUGGUUGUGGCUUCUUUAUUUAUGUUGGACUGUUCUGUGAAUUGCCACCAUGAAACUUGUUGAAAAUAGUGCUGUCGGGUGAUAAUCAUUCUUGGCAGUGAUUCUUGUUGUGGUUGGGAUAUUGAUGCAGAUAUACCACGAAGGGAAGAUCUGCCUCACUGUGCACUUCAGGCGCGCGCAC
Molecule: long non-coding RNA, 535 nt
Filed under: Triticum aestivum (bread wheat)
Lineage: Eukaryota; Viridiplantae; Streptophyta; Magnoliopsida; Poales; Poaceae
Description: long non-coding RNA (TAES_LNC015021)
Source: RNAcentral